This 497-nucleotide ribosomal RNA is filed under the name uncultured bacterium. Its description in RNAcentral is "partial 16S ribosomal RNA". It matches the Rfam family "Bacterial small subunit ribosomal RNA", at positions 28 to 507 of the family's 1533-position model. The record is from RNAcentral.
GAUGAACGCUGGCGGCGUGCCUAAUACAUGCAAGUCGAGCGAACAGACGAGGCGCUUGCUCCUCUGACGUUAGCGGCGGACGGGUGAGUAACACGUGGAUAACCUACCUAUAAUACUGGGAUAACUUCGGGAAACCGGAUCUAAUACCGGAUAAUAUAUUGAACCGCAUGGUUCAAUAGUGAAAGACGGUUUUGCUGUCACUUAUAGAUGGAUCCGCGCCGCAUUAGCUAGUUGGUAAGGUAACGGCUUUCCACGGCGACGAUGCGUAGCCGACCUGAGAGGGUGAUCGGCCACACUGGAAGGGAGACACGGACCAGACUCCUACGGGAGGCAGCAGUCGGGAAUCUUACGCAAUAGGCGAAAGCCUGACGGAGCAACGCGGCGUGAGUGAUGGAGAUCUUCGGAUCGUAAAACUCUGUUAUUAGGGAAGAACAAAUGUGUAAGGAACUAUGCACGUCUUGACGGUACCUGGUCAGAAAGCCACGGCUAACUACGUG